Molecule: unclassified non-coding RNA, 302 nt
Filed under: Hevea brasiliensis (rubber tree)
Lineage: Eukaryota; Viridiplantae; Streptophyta; Magnoliopsida; Malpighiales; Euphorbiaceae
Source: RNAcentral
GAGAAGUUUAUAAAGAUUGAACAGCCUCCUGCAUCAUUUUUACAAGCCAUGGAAGAAUAUGUAAAAGAAGCUCCACGGGUUUCAACAGUUCGUAAGGAACAGGCUGCUGAUAAUAAACUGGCUGCCCCUAAAGAAGUUUUGGCUAUCGAGUACAAGAAGGAACCAGCAGCGCAAGUGGAACAAACGGUGGCACCUCCACCAGCCCCGUCUCCCCCACCACCUGAACCAGUUAAAGUAGAACCAGUCGUAAAUGAACAACCUGACUUGUUGGGUUUGAAUGAUCCUGUACCUGAGGCUACUUC